This 368-nucleotide unclassified non-coding RNA is filed under the name uncultured Verrucomicrobiae bacterium. Its description in RNAcentral is "contains 16S-23S intergenic spacer region". Lineage: Bacteria; Pseudomonadati; Verrucomicrobiota; Verrucomicrobiia. The record is from RNAcentral.
UCCCCGUUGCCGGGGCAGUCUGAUUAGAAAAAUACAACUAAUGACAAGGGUUGCGCUCGUUGCGGGACUUAACCCAACAUCUCACGACACGAGCUGACGACGGCCAUGCAGCACCUGUGUAAGCUACUGACUUAACAGUUCGAUCCCCUUUCGGUUCACUACUUCAUGCAUGUCAAGCCCUGGUAAGGUUCUUCGCGUUGCAUCGAAUUAAGCCACAUACUCCACCGCUUGUGCAGGCCCCCGUCAAUUUCUUUGAGUUUUAAUCUUGCGACCGUACUUCCCAGGCGGCUUAUUUAUCGCGUUAGCUACGCCACAAAAGGGGUCGAUUCCUUUUACAGCAAAUAAGCACCGUUUACGGCUAGGACUAC